AUUGAUGAAAAAGUCCUUGUUCCACUGGCAGAUUGUCACAUAACAUGGAAAAAGUGUCUUGUUUUUUCAAUGAUGCACAAAAAUAUUAUAAUAACGCUGCCAUCAGCAUAAAAGGAUGCCAAAAUCUAAAAAAUAAUCAGGACAAAUGUAAAUGCCAUGCUUUUUCACUACAAAAACACAAAACACUUUAAAUGAGACAACACUAACUUACAAGGAACAUAAAGGCAGGGGAGCUUGUUUUAAGCCAAUAUAACAACCGUCUUUGAACAUUAUAUAAACAUAUAUUUCUGAAUACUAACCAAAACACUUUUCUUCUCCAGCAGCAGUACAGAGGUAAAACCAGCUGACCAAACGGACUGGAGCUCCAUUUAGGUUGCUAGGCUGCAGACAAGUUGGGCAACAGUGACGCAGAACCCGGUCUGGAAAAAUCAGAUGAUGCAACUGCAACAUUUUAUAGACGCCGUUUGGUUAAAAAUAAGAGGAAGUUUGUUAUCAGGGGUCCUUGGUUUGCUGACGGUGCAUCAAUGUACAUCAUGUCCCAGACUAAUCAUAACAUGGUUAAAUAAUUAACAUGCAAUAAAAAGGAGUCUCUGUUUGAUGUCUGACCAAUU
This is a long non-coding RNA of Xiphophorus hellerii (green swordtail), 611 nucleotides long. RefSeq lists it as uncharacterized. The record is from RefSeq and is a predicted model, not a curated record. Lineage: Eukaryota; Metazoa; Chordata; Actinopteri; Cyprinodontiformes; Poeciliidae. The transcript is spliced from 2 exons.